Suncus etruscus (white-toothed pygmy shrew) is the source of this 555-nucleotide long non-coding RNA. RefSeq lists it as uncharacterized. The transcript is spliced from 2 exons. Lineage: Eukaryota; Metazoa; Chordata; Mammalia; Eulipotyphla; Soricidae. The record is from RefSeq and is a predicted model, not a curated record.
UUAUUUUGUGUUGGGGCCACAUCCGGUGGUGCUCAGUGGUUCCUCCUGGCUCUGCACUCAAAAAUUACUCCUGGCAGUGCUGGGGGACCAAAUGGGAUGCCAAGGAUCCAACCUGAGUGGGCUGCAUUCUAGGCAAGCUUCCUACCUGCUGUGCUAUUGCUCUGAUCCAGUGUCUGAUACAUUUUUAUUCUCCCUCAAGAGAAGCUGUUCACAAGGCAGUUGAACCGAUGUCCUCAGCUGGAAGUCCCAGAGCACUGGGGCAUUUCUGACACUCAGAGGGCAUGUGACAGCACCAGGGCACCAGGGCACACACAUAUGUAUUCACCGUGUUUCCUCAAAGGCAGGGAUCUAACUUAUCUCCCCAGUAUCCUGCACAGAGUUCAACUUUAGUUUUUCAUAUUUAUAUUUCAUGAAUUAAAAAUCAUCCUGAAAAACAAGUACCCUAAAAUCAAAAACUUUUAUAACGGCCCCUUAUCUGAGCUUGUUCUUCAUGACAAAUGUCAGCCCACUUGUCAGAUCCAGUUGCUGAUUAGAAUAAAUAAAUAUACAGUACCG